Molecule: ribosomal RNA, 367 nt
Filed under: Salmonella enterica subsp. enterica serovar Kentucky
Lineage: Bacteria; Pseudomonadati; Pseudomonadota; Gammaproteobacteria; Enterobacterales; Enterobacteriaceae
Description: bacterial SSU rRNA
Rfam family: Bacterial small subunit ribosomal RNA
Source: RNAcentral
AAAUUGAAGAGUUUGAUCAUGGCUCAGAUUGAACGCUGGCGGCAGGCCUAACACAUGCAAGUCGAACGGUAGCACAGAGAGCUUGCUCUCGGGUGACGAGUGGCGGACGGGUGAGUAAUGUCUGGGAAACUGCCCGAUGGAGGGGGAUAACUACUGGAAACGGUAGCUAAUACCGCAUAACGUCGCAAGACCAAAGUGGGGGACCUUCGGGCCUCACACCAUCGGAUGUGCCCAGAUGGGAUUAGCUAGUAGGUGGGGUAACGGCUCACCUAGGCGACGAUCCCUAGCUGGUCUGAGAGGAUGACCAGCCACACUGGAACUGAGACACGGUCCAGACUCCUACGGGAGGCAGCAGUGGGGAAUAUUG